AGAGAGAGACAUGCGCGCAUAUCAAUAAGCGGAGGAAAAGAAACUAACAAGGAUUCCCUUAGUAACGGCGAGUGAAGCGGGAAGAGCUCAAAUUUGAAAUCUUCAAGGUUUUACCUUGACGAAUUGUAGUUUAAAGAAGUGUUUUCCUGCUGAAGUUUUGGUAAAAGUUCUUUGGAAUAGGACAUCAUAGAGGGUGAGAAUCCCGUAUUUGACCAUUAUUUUCAGCUUUGUGAUACACUUUCAAAGAGUCGGAUUGUUUGGGAAUGCAGUCCAAAAUGGGUGGUAAAUUUCAUCUAAAGCUAAAUAUUGGCGAGAGACCGAUAGCGAACAAGUACCGUGAGGGAAAGAUGAAAAGAACUUUGAAAAGAGAGUUAAACAGUACGUGAAAUUGUCAAAAGGGAAGCGUUUGACACCAGUGUUGUUUUCUCGAAAAUCAAUUAAAAAUGGCUCGAUUUUGUAUUGCUGAGACCUUAAAAGCUCACUGUACAUUUUUCGUGUCUUUUUUAAUGCACUUUUCGUUUAACAAGUCAACAUCAGUUUCUUUUGUUGUAAAAGGGUCAUUGGAAGGUGGCUUUCUUUUCGGAGAAAGUGUUUAUAGCCUUUGGCCUCUGCAAUCGGAGAGACUGAGGUCUGCAGCGUAGACUCUUCGGGGUUAGAUACAUUCGUGCUAAGUUAUAGCUUUUCAUAGACAACUUGUUGACUAUGAAUUAGUCAUUGUAGCUUACUCGCUUAUGCUAUUUUACCUACGCUUAGGAUGUUGAGUCGUAGAGCACGCAG
This 777-nucleotide ribosomal RNA is filed under the name uncultured Neocallimastigales. Its description in RNAcentral is "partial large subunit ribosomal RNA". It matches the Rfam family "Eukaryotic large subunit ribosomal RNA", at positions 23 to 634 of the family's 3401-position model. Lineage: Eukaryota; Fungi; Neocallimastigomycota; Neocallimastigomycetes; Neocallimastigales. The record is from RNAcentral.